CCCGGCAGGGCUCCGGGCGGCGGCGGCGUGGGGGGAUGCGGUGACCUUGCGGCUGGGCGGCAGGCGCAGAACGAGCGCCCCGGGGCCGGGCCAUGGGCACGGUGCCGUCCGCGCUGAAGCACUGCCUCAGCUAUCAGCACCUCCUCAAGGAGCAGCUCUGGAUCGGGGAGCCGGCCGCGCCGCCGCCUGCUCUGCAUCCCGGGCAGGAAUUUCAAAUAUCUGGAUUUCCUGACUAUGUUAAAAUUGUAGAAGUUGGGCCAAGAGACGGAUUACAAAAUGAAAAGGUUACAGUUCCCACAGAUAUCAAAAUUGAGUUAAUCAACCGACUUUCCAAAGCAGGCUUGUCUGUAAUAGAAGCAACCAGUUUUGUUUCAUCAAAGUGGGUACCUCAGAUGGCAGAUCACACAGAAGUAAUGAGAAGGAUCGAGCGGCAUCCUGGGGUCCAAUAUCCUGUACUCACACCUAAUCUUCAAGGUUUUCAUUCUGCUAUUGCAGCAGGAGCUACAGAGGUAUCAGUAUUUGGUGCAGCAUCUGAAUCUUUCAACAAAAUGAAUAUUAAUUGUUCUAUAGAAGAAAGCAUAGAAAAAUUUGAAGAAGUUACUAAAUCAGCACGAAAUAUGAAUAUUCCAGUGCGAGGGUAUGUAUCUUGUGCACUGGGAUGCCCGUAUGAAGGAAACAUCAUACCAGCUAAAGUGGCAGAAGUGUCUAAACAGCUGUAUAGCAUGGGCUGCUAUGAGAUCUCUCUGGGGGACACAAUUGGUGUGGGGACCCCCGGCAGCAUGAAAAGAAUGUUGGAAGCUGUUAUGAAGGAAAUCCCAGUGAGUGCUCUUGCUGUUCACUGCCAUGACACGUAUGGCCAGGCUUUAGCCAAUAUCCUCACAGCCUUACAGCAGAUUUUUUGCCUUUUUGAGGGCAACAUGCUCCAUAGAAUACCACAUUCUGUGCCUCUUCCUUUCUGCUGGCCACCUCCAAUCCCUUUUUGCCUUAUAUUGCCUCCGUCAACAUGUAAGUGGAGUGGAGAGGAUGCCAGCAACUCCACAGGGAGAUGGGAGUUGGUGUUGUGGACUCUGCUGUUGCUGGAUUAGGUGGCUGUCCAUAUGCGAAAGGUGCUACUGGAAACGUAGCCACGGAGGAUGUGCUAUACAUGCUUAAUGGGUUAGGGAUAAAUACGGGAGUGAAUCUUUACAAGGUGAUGGAAGCUGGUAACUUCAUCUGCACGGCUUUGAACAAGAAAACAAAUUCUAAAGUUGCACAAGCUUCCUUCAAUGUUUGAACUGUAUAUUAAAAUGUUCUUUCUGCAAUACACAUUGUCAAAGAGCAUUUACAUAAAGAAAAUCAAGUGCAAAACCUUUUCAGUCAAGAAAAAAAGAAAGCAUGCUAUAGCUGUUCUUUAUGGAAAGAGUAACUGUGUGUUAGAAUACUACAUCUUGCCAAAUGUUAUUAUGGGGAAAUAAUACAGCAUUGCAAAUAAUAAAUAUAAUGUCUAUCAAUACAAAUUCAUGUCCUCGAUACUUUUAAAAGUAAGCAAAUCAGCAACUUACUGUCUAUUUAAAUGGCCUUUUAGCUUGCUUUAGAAAAAAUUCAUUACAGAGUUCCACAAAAAGUGAAUACAUUGGUAAUUCUUAAUCAAGCUGACUUUUAGGACAGUACAAAUAUUUGAAGUAGUUUAUGAGAUCCCACAUUGUUUGUGGCCUGGCUAUUAUGUGUUUUAUUUCUCUGAAUCUCCACUUUUCAUUUGCCAAGUCAAUUAUGUUAUGAACGUGGAGCCCAAUCUAAAUUUACUGUAAGUACUUUCUAGCAAUAGCACUUUUGUAUUUUUACAACGGUUAACAUCUGUUAAAUAUAUGAAUGAUUUUAUCUUGUUCCAAGAGUUUGUGAUGAAUAGCAGCCUGCCAUAUCCUGCAAAUCUAGUGCAACCUCUCUUAUUUGUUACAUACAUUAAAUUCACUGUAGUUGCCUUUUUCAUCAGCUGUUUUAAAAAGCUGAUUAAUUAUAUCAAACAAUGAAAAGAAGACAGGAUAUACUCUUUAGUGUAGCACACUGGGGGUAAUUAGAUUUUUGUGCAAAAGCCUCAUGCACCAGUUGACAUUUUAUUUUAUGAUCCCCAGAUUAUCAUUCUCACUCAUUAUCACAGAACCUGUCUUUCUGGGGAUGUUGACACCUAUGACUGACUAGUUUACACAGAGUGAGCCAUCCACAGCCUCCCUGUAAGCUUUUGUGAAUUUGGUACUGUACCUGUAAAUGUCUGAGUGAAACAAAAUGCCAGUAAACUGCACCAUCAUCAGUAAAUCAGCAACGGACAAUUUAAAAUAACUGCCUCAUUGUUUCUGUAACCUGUUCAAAUCAUCCAUGAAACUACUGUAAUCUUCUUGCCUGAAACAUCAGUUCUUUUACUGUGUCUGUCUACACAGCCUUCUUCUGUAUCUUCAUUAUGUAUCUGCUCUUGAUCUGAAUUUUGUUAGAAAGCAAGCUCUUAACACAAAACCCAAAAACCUGGGCUAUGAUUUUUUCCCCAUUGAUAUAUACUUAGCUCUUCUCAGAAACAUGAAAAUUUGGAGAAGGAUGAGAUUUUAAAAAAGUGAAAGAUUUACACGAAAAGAAAGAAGAAGGUAGGCUCACAGUUGUGUGCAGCCCAACUCUGUCAGACUACAGCACCCUUACUUGUGCCAUUAUCGCAUGUGCUGGGGUUGUGCCAUGGUCCGAACCAACUUGAUUAUGAGACAUCCAGGUUGUCGGCUGAUGUCACAUAUGGUUGGAGUUUGGUGGCUACUACUCUCCAAAUUAUUUUGGAUUGGGGUUGGAGACAGGAUAGUCAUUGGAGAGGUCUUCUUUGGAGAGGUCUUUCUGGUAAGUGUUGGCUUCCUGAGGACUGGGUGAACUAUUACUUUUUUCCAGGAGUUUGGUAGCUGUGCUUCUCUGAAGCAGGCAUAGAUUAUUUCCAUUAGUAGUUCACAUAGUUCUUCUUCACUAUCUUUUACCAGCCUGGAGUCUCCUGGAUCCAUUUCACAGACUGUGGCUUUAAUAUUUUUCAGGGCUACCCUGCUUUGGCAUCAGAUACAGUUCAGUCUUUACAGGUGGCUGGAAAUUGGCCUUGAGUUGGCACAUUUAUGUGUUAGUUUAAAAUCUAACCAGACAUCAUUGAAAAUAAGAUUCAGGAAGGAGCUGUAAUAUGAGUGCUCAAACCAAGGGUUGCAAAACCAACAACAACCCCCCACCCCACCCCCAACACAUGGGCUCAUGAACAGGGCUGGGGGUGGUUGUGAUCAUCUUUCCUUACUUUAUUGCUAGAUGGGAGAGGUUGAUAACAUUUGCUCACCAUUGUAAUAUGGGAUCAUGGAAUGCAGCUUGAGAAUCACUGAGGUAGACUUACUACUAUUUUGCUCCAUGCUAUAGAAAUGAACCACUUCUACGGCAAAGGGAUAGUUUAUGUAAGAUUCGACUAUUUUCUCAGAGGGUUAUUUUAAGGGGAGGGAGUGUGGCCUAGUGAUCAGAUCCGUGGUCUGGGAGCUAGGAUUCUGUUCCCAGCUGGCUCACUGGCUCACUGUGUGACUUAUCAGGUUGCUCACCUAGUGCUGUGCGGUUUUCAUUAAUUAAUAUUUGUAAAGCCAGUUGGAAUGUUCAGAGCUCAGAAUUAAAAAAAGUAUCCAAUCUGAGAACUGUCCCAGCAACAUUUCCCAUGCUUGGCUUGUUAAUUAUUUUUAUUUACGCAUUUAUUUAUACUAUAUUUACUAAAUGGAAACAUUUUUUCUUCAAAUCUCCCAUUUCCUGUUUCAGUUAACAUCUGCCAUCAUGAUCCUAAUGUUCUAGCAGGAGGGCAUGAUUAAAACUAAUGUUAAUGUAGCCCUUUGGGUCAUCCUCCAGAGACACGGUAUAUUUGCUGAAGAACUGUCACCAGCAUGGUUGUACUGGUUAAAUGCACCUAUUAUUUUGCAGUGCAUGGCAUUAAUCUUAAAGGUGAAAUAAAACAUAUCUAAAUGUUUGUUGAAACAGAUAUCCUGAUGUAUUACGACAUGCUAGAUUCAGCAACUCCAGUUAACUAAGUCACACAUAAGGCGUUAGUAAAUAUCAGCUGUCACUCCAUCACAUACUCUAAUGUUUAUGCCGGUAAGGUGUAAUCCAUUCUGAGUGCAUUUGCUUGUGAUUACCUUUAUUAUCAGUUGUUCCAAUCUGCUUUAAUGGAAAAUGAUACGUAACUGAUGAAUCUCUUCUACGUUACCAUAGAAACAUAUUUCUUCCCUCCAUUAACUAAGCAUUAACUAUGAGAUCUUUGAUAACUCAGAAUAUUCCUCUGUAAAGAAAUAUUCAAGUUCUGGUAAUCAAAGUUGAUUCAGAGUACCACUCUCAGAUCAUUUAAAUUUUCUUUUCAAUUUUUAUUUUUGAGCUUCUCUCUAUAUCACAAAUGCAGAGCAAACAUUUUCAUUCCUGUUUUUAUAUAAGCUAAAAUCACCCAAAUUACCAUCGGAGCCUGUACCCAGUGUCAUCAAUGGUAAAACAAUUGUACAUUGCAGUGGGUGUCUGAACACAUCCUAAUACUUUAUACUAUACACUGAGGUGGAAAAUAUGUUCUGGAUCACACGUGUGACCUUCUUACUGUAUUUUUUGCAAUUACUCCAAAAUUGCACGCUCCAAAAACUGCACGAUGAACAGCUGCACAUAAGGAUAGUAAGGUGCAGACACUCCAUGCCCCAUACACAUAGAAUGCCUUUCCUGAGCCGAUCUGCAAAAGUCACUAUCAACUUCUCUUUCAAAUCCUUCCUGGAGACCCACUUUUGCUGUAGUGUCUAAAAGACAGUAGCCAGCUAAUUAUCAUUAGAUAAAAGAGCAGUUGGUGACAGAUUACAUAUACCACAUAUUAUAACAUUUUAAAAUAUGUACAACUAUGUACAAAACCAAAUCUAACAAUAUGUUUAUUAGCCGUCACUCUGACCGCUGUGCUCAUGUGUUACAUCCCUGUCCCUCACUCUUCAUCUGUUUUUCACACUGUAAGCUCAUUGGGGCAGGGAGUGUGGUUUCCUGUAUGACUGUAAAACACCUACCACAUUUUAUAGUACGCUAUAGUACAGAAAAUAAAAAUGUACCAGUACAUAAUAAAUUGCAAAGGUACUUCAGGUGUCUAAGGGACUUUAAUACCUUUGAAACUGAAAUUGCUGCUGGCUGGGAUUCUCAGUUGAUUAUCUAAUACUAAUGUAUUUAAUAUAAUAGAUAUUUAAUAUAUUUAAACUAGAAGAAGUGGCAUUAGGAAUCAGUAGCAUGGUAAAUGCCUAAUCAGUGUAUUCUCCUGUUGAUGCAUUCAUAAUUCCCAAUAAAAUGAAUAAUUAUUUA
RNA transcript from Trachemys scripta elegans, 5322 nucleotides. It is a transcript of the gene named 3-hydroxymethyl-3-methylglutaryl-CoA lyase like 1, with no coding region annotated. The record is from RefSeq and is a predicted model, not a curated record. NCBI's taxonomy places the organism in Eukaryota, Metazoa, Chordata, Testudines, Emydidae. The transcript is spliced from 10 exons.